This 497-nucleotide ribosomal RNA is filed under the name uncultured bacterium. Its description in RNAcentral is "partial 16S ribosomal RNA". It matches the Rfam family "Bacterial small subunit ribosomal RNA", at positions 28 to 507 of the family's 1533-position model. The record is from RNAcentral.
GAUGAACGCUGGCGGCGUGCCUAAUACAUGCAAGUCGAGCGAACAGACGAGGAGCUUGCUCCUCUGACGUUAGCGGCGGACGGGUGAGUAACACGUGGAUAAUCUACCUAUAAGACUGGGAUAACUUCGGGAAACCGGAGCUAAUACCGGAUAAUAUAUUGAACCGCAUGGUUCAAUAGUGAAAGACGGUUUUGCUGUCACUUAUAGAUGGAUCCGCGCCGCAUUAGCUAGUUGGUAAGGUAACGGCUUACCAAGGCAACGAUGCGUAGCCGACCUGAGAGGGUGAUCGGCCACACUGGAACUGAGACACGGUCCAGACUCCUACGGGAGGCAGCAGUAGGGAAUCUUCCGCAAUGGGCGAAAGCUUGACGGAGCAACGCCGCGUGAGUGAUGAAGGUCUUCGGAUCGUAAAACUCUGUUAUUAGGGAAGAACAAAUGUGUAAGUAACUAUGCACGUCUUGACGGUACCUAAUCAGAAAGCCACGGCUAACUACGUG